RNAcentral lists this transfer RNA (74 nucleotides) under Pagellus erythrinus (common pandora). RNAcentral's name for it is "tRNA-Pro". It matches the Rfam family "tRNA". Rfam says of the family: Transfer RNA (tRNA) molecules are approximately 80 nucleotides in length. The record is from RNAcentral. Lineage: Eukaryota; Metazoa; Chordata; Actinopteri; Spariformes; Sparidae.
UCAAACAAAGAAUAGUUUAAUGUAGAACGUUAGCUUUGGGAGCCAAUAGUGGGGGUUAGAGCCCCUUUUCUUUG